RNAcentral lists this ribosomal RNA (428 nucleotides) under Pseudomonadota bacterium. Its description in RNAcentral is "Proteobacteria bacterium partial 16S ribosomal RNA". It matches the Rfam family "Bacterial small subunit ribosomal RNA", at positions 355 to 776 of the family's 1533-position model. Lineage: Bacteria; Pseudomonadati; Pseudomonadota. The record is from RNAcentral.
UGGGGAAUAUUGGACAAUGGGCGAAAGCCUGAUCCAGCCAUGCCGCGUGUGUGAAGAAGGUCUUCGGAUUGUAAAGCUCUUUAAGUUGGGAGGAAGGGCAGUAAGCGAAUACCUUGCUGUUUUGACGUUACCGACAGAAUAAGCACCGGCUAACUCUGUGCCAGCAGCCGCGGUAAUACAGAGGGUGCAAGCGUUAAUCGGAAUUACUGGGCGUAAAGCGCGCGUAGGUGGUUCGUUAAGUUGAAUGUGAAAGCCCCGGGCUCAACCUGGGAACUGCAUCCAAAACUGGCGGGCUAGAGUAGGGCAGAGGGUGGGGGAAUUUCCUGUGUAGCGGUGGAAUGCGUAGGUAUAGGAAGGAACAACAGUGGCGAAGGCGACCACCUGGGCUCAUACUGACACUGGGGUGCGAAAGCGUGGGGGCAAACAGG